RNAcentral lists this long non-coding RNA (9839 nucleotides) under Setaria viridis. RNAcentral describes it as "long non-coding RNA (SVIR_LNC005615)". The record is from RNAcentral. Lineage: Eukaryota; Viridiplantae; Streptophyta; Magnoliopsida; Poales; Poaceae.
GAGCAUUUCGGCACCCAAACACACUAUUUCCGGGUAGCGAAACUCGGGUGGAUUUUUUCGCAACGAACGCAUGCAAUCUUCCUAAUUAUACCCUGGAACAUGUUUGGGAGUGUUUUUGAGCAUUCGGUUCCGGAACGAAAAAUGAUGCAAAACGGGUGCAUUUCGGCACCCGAAUGCACUUUCUCCGUGUAGCGAAAAUCGGGUGGAUUUUUUCGCAACGAACGCAUGCAAUCUUCCUAAUUAUACCCUAGAACAUGUUUGGGAGUGUUUUUGAGCAUUCGGUUCUGGAACGAAAAAUGAUGGAAAACGGGUGCAUUUCGGCACCCGAAUGCACUUUUUCCGUGUAGCGAAAAUCGGGUGGAUUUUUUUGCAACGAACGCAUGCAAUCUUCCUAAUUAUACCCUAGAGCAUGUUUGGGAGUGUUUUUGAGCAUUCGGUUCCGGAACGAAAAAUGAUGCAAAACGGGUGCAUUUCGGCACCCGAAUGCAUAUUGCCGGGUAGCGAAACUCGUGUGGAUUUUUUCGCAACGAACGCAUGCAAUCUUCCUAAUUAUACCCUAGAACAUGUUCAGAAGUGUUUCUGAGCAUUCGGUUCCGGCACGAAAAAUGAUGCAAAACGGGUGCAUUUCAGCACCCGAAUGCACUAUUUCGGGGUAGCGAAACUCAGGUGGAUUUUUUCGCAACGAACGCAUGCAAUCUACCUAAUUAUACCCUAGAACAUGUUUGGGAGUGUUUUUGGGCAUUCGGUUCCGGCACGAAAAACGAUGCAAAACGGGAGCAUUUCGGCACCCAAACACACUAUUUCCGGGUAGCGAAACUCGGGUGGAUUUUUUCGCAACGAACGCAUGCAAUCUUCCUAAUUAUACCCUGGAACAUGUUUGGGAGUGUUUUUGAGCAUUCGGUUCCGGAACGAAAAAUGAUGCAAAACGGGUGCAUUUCGGCACCCGAAUGCACUUUCUCCGUGUAGCGAAAAUCGGGUGGAUUUUUUCGCAACGAACGCAUGCAAUCUUCCUAAUUAUACCCUGGAACAUGUUUGGGAGUGUUUUUGAGCAUUCGGUUCCGGAAUGAAAAAUGAUGGAAAACGGGUGCAUUUCGGCACCCGAAUGCACUUUUUUCGUGUAGCGAAAAUCGGGUGGAUUUUUUUGCAACGAACGCAUGCAAUCUUCCUAAUUAUACCCUAGAGCAUGUUUGGGAGUGUUUUUGAGCAUUCGGUUCCGGAACGAAAAAUGAUGCAAAACGGGUGCAUUUCGGCACCCGAAUGCAUAUUGCCGGGUAGCGAAACUCGGGUGGAUUUUUUCGCAACGAACGCAUGCAAUCUUCCUAAUUAUACCCUAGAACAUGUUCAGAAGUGUUUCUGAGCAUUCGGUUCCGGCACGAAAAAUGAUGCAAAACGGGUGCAUUUCAGCACCCGAAUGCACUAUUUCUGGGUAGCGAAACUCGUGUGGAUUUUUUCGCAACGAACGCAUGCAAUCUUCCUAAUUAUACCCUAGAACAUGUUUGGAAAUGUUUUUGAGCAUUCGGUUCCGGCACGAAAAACGAUGCAAAACGGGUGCAAUACGGCACCCGAAUGCUAUAUUUCCGGGUAGCGAAAGUCGGGUGGAUUUUUUCGCAACGAACGCAUGCAAUCUUCCUAAUUAUACCCUAGAACAUGUUUGGGAGUGUUUUUAGGCAUUCGGUCUCGGCACGAAAAAUGAUGCAAAACGGGUGCAUUUCGACAUCCGAAUGCACUAUUUCCGGGUAGCGAAACUCGGGUGGAUUUUUUCGCAAUGAACGCACCCAAUCUACCUCAUUAGACCCUAGAACUUGUUUGGGAUUGUUUUCGAGCAUUCAGUUCCGUCACGAAAAAUGAUGCAAAACGAGUGGAUUUCGGCACCCGAAUGCACUAUUUGCGGGUAGCGAAACUCGGGUGGAUUUUUUCGCAACGAACGCAUGCAAUCUUCCUAAUUAUACCCUAGAACAUGUUUGGGAGUGUUUUUGAGCAUUCGGUUCCGGAACGAAAAAUGAUGCAAAACGGGUGCAUUUCGGCACCCGAAUGCAUAUUGCUGGGUAGCGAAACUCGGGUGGAUUUUUUCGCAACGAACGCAUGCAAUCUUCCUAAUUAUACCCUAGAACAUGUUUGGGAGUGUUUUUGAGCAUUCGGUUCCGGAACGAAAAAUGAUGCAAGACGGGUGCAUUUCGGCACCCGAAUGCAUUAUUUCCGGGUAGCGAAACUCGGGUGGAUUUUUUCGCAACGAACGCAUGCAAUCUUCCUAAUUAUACCCUAGAACAUGUUUGGAAAUGUUUUUGAGCAUUCGGUUCCGGCACAAAAAACGAUGCAAAACCGGUGCAAUACGGCACCCGAAUGCUAUAUUUCCGGGUAACGAAAGUCGGGUAGAUUUUUUCGCAACGAACGCAUGCAAUCUUCCUAAUUAUACCCUAGAACAUGUUCAGAAGUGUUUCCGAGCAUUCGGUUCCGUCACGAAAAAUGAUGCAAAAACAGUGGAUUUUGGCACCCAAAUCCACUAUUUCCAGGUAGCGAAACUCGUGUUCAUUUUCUCGCAACGAACGCAUCCAAUCUACCUCAUUAGACCGUAGAACAUGUUUGGAAGUGUCUUCGAGCAUUCGGUUUCGGCACGAAAAAUGAUGCAAAACGAGUGGAUUUCGGCACCCGAAUGCACUAUUUCCGGGUAGCGAAACUCGGGUGGAUUUUUUCGCAACGAACGCAUGCAAUCUUCGUAAUUAUACCCUAGAACAUGUUUGGGAGUGUUUUUGAGCAUUCGGUUCCGGCACGAAAAAUGAUGCAAAACGGGUGCAUUUCGGCACCCGAAUGCUAUAUUUCCGGGUAGCGAAACUCGGGUGGAUUUUUCCACAAUGAAUGCAUCCAAUCUUCCUAAUUAUACACUAAAACAUUUUUGGGAGUGUUUUUGGGCAUUCAGUUCCGGCACGAAAAAUGAUGCAAAACGGGUGCAUUUCGGCACCCGAAUGCACUAUUUCCGGGUAGCGAAACUCGGGUGGAUUUUUCCGCAACGAACGCAUCGAAUCUUCCUAAUUAUACACUAAAACAUGUUUGGGAGUGUUUUUGGGCAUUCGGUUCCGGCACGAAAAAUGAUGCGAAACGGGUGCAUUUCGACACCCGAAUGCACUAUUUUCGGGUAGCGAAACUUGGGUGGAUUUUUUCGCAACGAACGCAUGCAAUCUUCGUAAUUAGACCCUAGAACAUGUUUGGGAGUGUUUUUGAGCAUUCGGUUCCGGAACGAAAAAUGAUGCAAAACGGGUGCAUUUCGGCACCCGAAUGCACUUUUUCCGUGUAGCGAAAAUCGGGUGGAUUUUUUCGCAACGAACGCAUGCAAUCUUCCUAAUUAUACCCUAGAACAUGUUUGGGAGUGUUUUUGAGCAUUCAGUUCCGGAACGAAAAAUGAUGCAAAACGGGUGCAUUUCGGCACCCGAAUGCAUAUUGCCGGGUAGCGAAACUCGGGUGGAUUUUUUCGCAACGAACGCAUGCAAUCUUCGUAAUUAUACCCUAGAACAUGUUUGGGAGUGUUUUUGAGCAUUCGGUUCCGGAACGAAAAAUGAUGCAAAACGGGUGCAUUUCGGCACCCGAAUGCUAUAUUUCCGGGUAGCGAAACUCGGGUGGAUUUUUCCACAACGAAUGCAUCCAAUCUUCCUAAUUAUACACUAAAACAUUUUUGGGAGUGUUUUUGGGCAUUCAGUUCCGGCACGAAAAAUGAUGCAAAACGGGUGCAUUUCGGCACCCGAAUGCACUAUUUCCGGGUAGCGAAACUCGGGUGGAUUUUUUCGCAACGAACGCAUGCAAUCUUCGUAAUUAUACCCUAGAAAAUGUUUGGGAGUGUUUUUGAGCAUUCGGUUCCGGAACGAAAAAUGAUGCAAAACGGGUGCAUUUCGGCACCCGAAUGCACUAUUUCUGGGUAGCGAAACUCGUGUGGAUUUUUUCGCAACGAACGCAUGCAAUCUUCCUAAUUAUACCCUAGAACAUGUUUGGAAAUGUUUUUGAGCAUUCGGUUCCGGCACGAAAAACGAUGCAAAACGGGUGCAAUACGGCACCCGAAUGCUAUAUUUCCGGGUAGCGAAAGUCGGGUGGAUUUUUUCGCAACGAACGCAUGCAAUCUUCCUAAUUAUACCCUAGAACAUGUUUGGGAGUGUUUUUGGGCAUUCGGUCUCGGCACGAAAAAUGAUGCAAAACGGGUGCAUUUCGACAUCCGAAUGCACUAUUUCCGGGUAGCGAAACUCGGGUGGAUUUUUUCGCAACGAACGCACCCAAUCUACCUCAUUAGACCCUAGAACUUGUUUGGGAUUGUUUUCGAGCAUUCAGUUCCGUCACGAAAAAUGAUGCAAAACGAGUGGAUUUCGGCACCCGAAUGCACUAUUUGCGGGUAGCGAAACUCGGGUGGAUUUUUUCGCAACGAACGCAUGCAAUCUUCCUAAUUAUACCCUAGAACAUGUUUGGGAGUGUUUUUGAGCAUUCGGUUCCGGAACGAAAAAUGAUGCAAAACGGGUGCAUUUCGGCACCCGAAUGCAUAUUGCUGGGUAGCGAAAGUCGGGUGGAUUUUUUCGCAACGAACGCAUGCAAUCUUCCUAAUUAUACCCUAGAACAUGUUUGGGAGUGUUUUUGAGCAUUCGGUUCCGGAACGAAAAAUGAUGCAAAACGGGUGCAUUUCGGCACCCGAAUGCAUUAUUUCCGGGUAACGAAACUCGGGUGGAUUUUUUCGCAACGAACGCAUGCAAUCUUCCUAAUUAUACCCUAGAACAUGUUUGGAAAUGUUUUUGAGCAUUCGGUUCCGGCACAAAAAACGAUGCAAAACCGGUGCAAUACGGCACCCGAAUGCUAUAGUUCCGGGUAACGAAAGUCGGGUAGAUUUUUUCGCAACGAACGCAUGGAAUCUUCCUAAUUAUACCCUAGAACAUGUUCAGAAGUGGUUCCGAGCAUUCGGUUCCGUCACGAAAAAUGAUGCAAAAACAGUGGAUUUUGGCACCCAAAUCCACUAUUUCCAGGUAGCGAAACUCGUGUUCAUUUUCUCGCAACGAACGCAUCCAAUCUACCUCAUUAGACCGUAGAACAUGUUUGGAAGUGUCUUCGAGCAUUCGGUUUCGGCACGAAAAAUGAUGCAAAACGAGUGGAUUUCGGCACCCGAAUGCACUAUUUCCGGGUAGCGAAACUCGGGUGGAUUUUUUCGCAACGAACGCAUGCAAUCUUCGUAAUUAUACCCUAGAACAUGUUUGGGAGUGUUUUUGAGCAUUCGGUUCCGGCACGAAAAAUGAUGCAAAACGGGUGCAUUUCGGCACCCGAAUGCUAUAUUUCCGGGUAGCGAAACUCGGGUGGAUUUUUCCACAACGAAUGCAUCCAAUCUUCCUAAUUAUACACUAAAACAUUUUUGGGAGUGUUUUUGGGCAUUCAGUUCCGGCACGAAAAAUGAUGCAAAACGGGUGCAUUUCGGCACCCGAAUGCACUAUUUCCGGGUAGCGAAACUCGGGUGGAUUUUUUCGCAACGAACGCAUGCAAUCUUCGUAAUUAUACCCUAGAAAAUGUUUGGGAGUGUUUUUGAGCAUUCGGUUCCGGAACGAAAAAUGAUGCAAAACGGGUGCAUUUCGGCACCCGAAUGCACUAUUUCUGGGUAGCGAAACUCGUGUGGAUUUUUUCGCAACGAACGCAUGCAAUCUUCCUAAUUAUACCCUAGAACAUGUUUGGAAAUGUUUUUGAGCAUUCGGUUCCGGCACGAAAAACGAUGCAAAACGGGUGCAAUACGGCACCCGAAUGCUAUAUUUCCGGGUAGCGAAAGUCGGGUGGAUUUUUUCGCAACGAACGCAUGCAAUCUUCCUAAUUAUACCCUAGAACAUGUUUGGGAGUGUUUUUGGGCAUUCGGUCUCGGCACGAAAAAUGAUGCAAAACGGGUGCAUUUCGACAUCCGAAUGCACUAUUUCCGGGUAGCGAAACUCGGGUGGAUUUUUUCGCAACGAACGCACCCAAUCUACCUCAUUAGACCCUAGAACUUGUUUGGGAUUGUUUUCGAGCAUUCAGUUCCGUCACGAAAAAUGAUGCAAAACGAGUGGAUUUCGGCACCCGAAUGCACUAUUUGCGGGUAGCGAAACUCGGGUGGAUUUUUUCGCAACGAACGCAUGCAAUCUUCGUAAUUAUACCCUAGAAAAUGUUUGGGAGUGUUUUUGAGCAUUCGGUUCCGGAACGAAAAAUGAUGCAAAACGGGUGCAUUUCGGCACCCGAAUGCAUUAUUUCCGGGUAACGAAACUCGGGUGGAUUUUUUCGCAACGAACGCAUGCAAUCUUCCUAAUUAUACCCUAGAACAUGUUUGGAAAUGUUUUUUAGGAUUCGGUUCCGGCACAAAAAACGAUGCAAAACCGGUGCAAUACGGCACCCGAAUGCUAUAGUUCCGGGUAACAAAAGUCGGGUAGAUUUUUUCGCAACGAACGCAUGGAAUCUUCCUAAUUAUACCCUAGAACAUGUUCAGAAGUGUUUCCGAGCAUUCGGUUCCGUCACGAAAAAUGAUGCAAAAACAGUGGAUUUUGGCACCCAAAUCCACUAUUUCCAGGUAGCGAAACUCGUGUUCAUUUUCUCGCAACGAACGCAUCCAAUCUACCUCAUUAGACCGUAGAACAUGUUUGGAAGUGUCUUCGAGCAUUCGGUUUCGGCACGAAAAAUGAUGCAAAACGAGUGGAUUUCGGCACCCGAAUGCACUAUUUCCGGGUAGCGAAACUCGGGUGGAUUUUUUCGCAACGAACGCAUGCAAUCUUCGUAAUUAUACCCUAGAACAUGUUUGGGAGUGUUUUUGAGCAUUCGGUUCCGGCACGAAAAAUGAUGCAAAACGGGUGCAUUUCGGCACCCGAAUGCUAUAUUUCCGGGUAGCGAAACUCGGGUGGAUUUUUCCACAACGAAUGCAUCCAAUCUUCCUAAUUAUACACUAAAACAUUUUGGGAGUGUUUUUGGGCAUUCAGUUCUGGCACGAAAAAUGAUGCAAAACGGGUGCAUUUCGGCACCCGAAUGCACUAUUUCCGGGUAGCGAAACUCGGGUGGAUUUUUCCGCAACGAACGCAUCCAAUCUUCCUAAUUAUACACUAAAACAUGUUUGGGAGUGUUUUUGGGCAUUCGGUUCCGGCACGAAAAAUGAUGCAAAACGGGUGCAUUUCGACACCCGAAUGCACUAUUUUCGGGUAGCGAAACUCGGGUGGAUUUUUUCGCAACGAACGCAUGCAAUCUUCGUAAUUAGACCCUAGAACAUGUUUGGGAGUGUUUUUGAGCAUUCGGUUCCGGAACGAAAAAUGAUGCAAAACGGGUGCAUUUCGGCACCCGAAUGCACUUUUUCCGUGUAGCGAAAAUCGGGUGGAUUUUUUCGCAACGAACGCAUGCAAUCUUCCUAAUUAUACCCUAGAACAUGUUUGGGAGUGUUUUUGGGCAUUCGGUCUCGGCACGAAAAAUGAUGCAAAACGGGUGCAUUUCGACAUCCGAAUGCACUAUUUCCGGGUAGCGAAACUCGGGUGGAUUUUUUUGCAACGAACGCAUGCAAUCUUCCUAAUUAUACCCUAGAACAUGUUUGGAAAUGUUUUUGAGCAUUCGGUUCCGGCACGAAAAACGAUGCAAAACGGGUGCAAUUCGGCACCCGAAUGCUAUAUUUCCGGGUAGCGAAAGUCGGGUGGAUUUUUUCGCAACGAACGCAUGCAAUCUUCCUAAUUAUACCCUAGAACAUGUUUGGGAGUGUUUUUGGGCAUUCGGUUCCGGAACGAAAAAUGAUGCAAAACGGGUGCAUUUCGGCACCCGAAUGCACUAUUUCUGGGUAGCGAAACUCGUGUGGAUUUUUUCGCAACGAACGCAUGCAAUCUUCCUAAUUAUACCCUAGAACAUGUUUGGAAAUGUUUUUGAGCAUUCGGUUCCGGCACGAAAAACGAUGCAAAACGGGUGGAAUACGGCACCCGAAUGCUAUAUUUCCGGGUAGCGAAAGUCGGGUGGAUUUUUUCGCAACGAACGCAUGCAAUCUUCCUAAUUAUACCCUAGAACAUGUUUGGGAGUGUUUUUGGGCAUUCGGUCUCGGCACGAAAAAUGAUGCAAAACGGGUGCAUUUCGACAUCCGAAUGCACUAUUUCCGGGUAGCGAAACUCGGGUGGAUUUUUUCGCAACGAACGCACCCAAUCUACCUCAUUAGACCCUAGAACUUGUUUGGGAUUGUUUUCGAGCAUUCAGUUCCGUCACGAAAAAUGAUGCAAAACGAGUGGAUUUCGGCACCCGAAUGCACUAUUUGCGGGUAGCGAAACUCGGGUGGAUUUUUUCGCAACGAACGCAUGCAAUCUUCCUAAUUAUACCCUAGAACAUGUUUGGGAGUGUUUUUGAGCAUUCGGUUCCGGAACGAAAAAUGAUGCAAAACGGGUGCAUUUCGGCACCCGAAUGCAUAUUGCUGGGUAGCGAAAGUCGGGUGGAUUUUUUCGCAACGAACGCAUGCAAUCUUCCUAAUUAUACCCUAGAACAUGUUUGGGAGUGUUUUUGAGCAUUCGGUUCCGGAACGAAAAAUGGUGCAAAACGGGUGCAUUUCGGCACCCGAAUGCAUAUUGCUGGGUAGCGAAAGUCGGGUAGAUUUUUUCGCAACGAACGCAUGGAAUCUUCCUAAUUAUACCCUAGAACAUGUUCAGAAGUGUUUCCGAGCAUUCGGUUCCGUCACGAAAAAUGAUGCAAAAACAGUGGAUUUUGGCACCCAAAUCCACUAUUUCCAGGUAGCGAAACUCGUGUUCAUUUUCUCGCAACGAACGCAUCCAAUCUACCUCAUUAGACCGUAGAACAUGUUUGGAAGUGUCUUCGAGCAUUCGGUUUCGGCACGAAAAAUGAUGCAAAACGAGUGGAUUUCGGCACCCGAAUGCACUAUUUCCGGGUAGCGAAACUCGGGUGGAUUUUUUCGCAACGAACGCAUGCAAUCUUCGUAAUUAUACCCUAGAACAUGUUUGGGAGUGUUUUUGAGCAUUCGGUUCCGGCACGAAAAAUGAUGCAAAACGGGUGCAUUUCGGCACCCGAAUGCUAUAUUUCCGGGUAGCGAAACUCGGGUGGAUUUUUCCACAACGAAUGCAUCCAAUCUUCCUAAUUAUACACUAAAACAUUUUUGGGAGUGUUUUUGGGCAUUCAGUUCCGGCACGAAAAAUGAUGCAAAACGGGUGCAUUUCGGCACCCGAAUGCACUAUUUCCGGGUAGCGAAACUCGGGUGGAUUUUUCCGCAACGAACGCAUCGAAUCUUCCUAAUUAUACACUAAAACAUGUUUGGGAGUGUUUUUGGGCAUUCGGUUCCGGCACGAAAAAUGAUGCAAAACGGGUGCAUUUCGACACCCGAAUGCACUAUUUUCGGGUAGCGAAACUCGGGUGGAUUUUUUCGCAACGAACGCAUGCAAUCUUCGUAAUUAGACCCUAGAACAUGUUUGGGAGUGUUUUUGAGCAUUCGGUUCCGGAACGAAAAAUGAUGCAAAACGGGUGCAUUUCGGCACCCGAAUGCACUUUUUCCGUGUAGCGAAAAUCGGGUGGAUUUUUUCGCAACGAACGCAUGCAAUCUUCCUAAUUAUACCCUAGAACAUGUUUGGGAGUGUUUUUGAGCAUUCGGUUCCGGAACGAAAAAUGAUGCAAAACGGGUGCAUUUCGGCACCCGAAUGCAUAUUGCCGGGUAGCGAAACUCGGGUGGAUUUUUUCGCAACGAACGCAUGCAAUCUUCGUAAUUAUACCCUAGAACAUGUUUGGGAGUGUUUUUGAGCAUUCGGUUCCGGAACGAAAAAUGAUGCAAAACGGGUGCAUUUCGGCACCCGAAUGCAUUAUUUCCGGGUAGCGAAACUCGGGUGGAUUUUUUCGCAACGAACGCAUGCAAUCUUCCU